RNAcentral lists this ribosomal RNA (497 nucleotides) under uncultured bacterium. RNAcentral describes it as "partial 16S ribosomal RNA". It matches the Rfam family "Bacterial small subunit ribosomal RNA", at positions 28 to 507 of the family's 1533-position model. The record is from RNAcentral.
GAUGAACGCUGGCGGCGUGCCUAAUACAUGCAAGUCGAGCGAUGAAGCGUGGUGCUUGCUCCUCUUUGAUGAGCAGCGGACGGGUGAGUAACGCGUGGGGAACCUGCCUUUGAGAGGGGGACAACUUUUGGAAACGAUAGCUAAUACCGCAUAACAACUUUAAACAUAAGGUUUAAGAGUGAAAGAUGCAAUUGCAUCACUCAAUGAUUAUCUCGCCUUGUAUUUGCAUGUUGGGGAGGUAAAGGCCCUCCAAGGCGAUGGAACAUAGCCGAACUGCGAGGGUGAACCGCCACCAUGGGACUGAGACCCGGCCCAAACUCCCUCGGGCAGCAGCAGGAAGGGAUCCUCCGCCAUCGGCGGAAAGCUGACCGAGCCACGCCGCAGGGGUGAAUAAGGUUGUCGGAUCGGAAAAAUCCGUUUGUGGGGAAAAACGUUGUUUGGAGUUGAAAGAUCAGAAAGUGACGGUACCUACCCAGAAAGCCACGGCUAACUACGUG